Molecule: ribosomal RNA, 497 nt
Filed under: uncultured bacterium
Lineage: Bacteria
Description: partial 16S ribosomal RNA
Rfam family: Bacterial small subunit ribosomal RNA
Source: RNAcentral
GAUGAACGCUGGCGGCGUGCCUAAUACAUGCAAGUCGAGCGAACAGACGAGGAGCUUGCUCCUCUGACGUUAGCGGCGGACGGGUGAGUAACACGUGGAUAACCUACCUAUAAGACUGGGAUAACUUCGGGAAACCGGAGCUAAUACCGGAUAAUAUAUUGAACCGCAUGGUUCAAUAGUGAAAGACGGUUUUGCUGUCACUUAUAGAUGGAUCCGCGCCGCAUUAGCUAGUUGGUAAGGUAACGGCUUACCAAGGCAACGAUGCGUAUCCGACCUGAGAGGGUGAUCGGCCACACUGGAACUGAGACACGGUCCAGACUCCUAAGGGAGGCAGCAGUAGGGAAUCUUCCGCAAUGGGCGAAAGCCUGACGGAGCAACGCCGCGUGAGUGAUGAAGGUCUUCGGAUCGUAAAACUCUGUUAUUAGGGAAGAACAAAUGUGUAAGUAACUAUGCACGUCUUGACGGUACCUAAUCAGAAAGCCACGGCUAACUACGUG